GUGAGGAAUUUUCCGCAAUGGGCGAAAGCCUGACGGAGCAAUGCCGCGUGAAGGAUGAAGGCCUAUGGGUUGUAAACUUCUUUUCUCAGAAAAGAAUUAUGACGGUAUCUGAGGAAUAAGCAUCGGCUAACUCUGUGCCAGCAGCCGCGGUAAGACAGAGGAUGCAAGCGUUAUCCGGAAUGAUUGGGCGUAAAGCGUCUGUAGGUUGUUUAAAAAGUAUUCUGUCAAAGAUUAGGGCUUAACCCUAGAUAGGCAGAAUAAACUUUUAAGCUAGAGCUUGGUAGAGGCAGAGGGAAUUCCCGGUGGAGCGGUGAAAUGCGUAGAUAUCGGGAGGAACACCAAAGGCGAAGGCACUCUGCUGGGCCAAUACUAACACUGAGAGACGAAAGCGAGGGGAGCAAAUGGGAUUAGAUACCCGGGUAGUCC
RNAcentral lists this ribosomal RNA (426 nucleotides) under uncultured bacterium. Its description in RNAcentral is "partial 16S ribosomal RNA". It matches the Rfam family "Bacterial small subunit ribosomal RNA", at positions 354 to 796 of the family's 1533-position model. The record is from RNAcentral.